AUUGAAGCGAUCUUUAUGACUUGUAUAAGCUGAUAAUCAGGUUCAGCGUCUCUACCGGGCACCUAAUGCCUGACUACAGGAGAAGAGAUGACUAUU
RNAcentral lists this non-coding RNA (96 nucleotides) under Pseudobacteriovorax antillogorgiicola. RNAcentral's name for it is "Guanine sequence". It matches the Rfam family "Purine riboswitch aptamer". Rfam says of the family: Riboswitches are metabolite binding domains within certain messenger RNAs that serve as precision sensors for their corresponding targets. Allosteric rearrangement of mRNA structure is mediated by ligand binding, and this results in modulation of gene expression. The record is from Rfam by way of RNAcentral. Lineage: Bacteria; Pseudomonadati; Bdellovibrionota; Oligoflexia; Oligoflexales; Pseudobacteriovoracaceae.